This 562-nucleotide ribosomal RNA is filed under the name Eimeria sp. ESP-181. RNAcentral describes it as "SSU rRNA". It matches the Rfam family "Eukaryotic small subunit ribosomal RNA", at positions 442 to 1006 of the family's 1831-position model. Lineage: Eukaryota; Apicomplexa; Conoidasida; Eucoccidiorida; Eimeriidae. The record is from RNAcentral.
UACCCAAUGAAAACAGUUUCGAGGUAGUGACGAGAAAUAACAAUACAGGGCAUUUUAUGCUCUGUAAUUGGAAUGAUGGGAAUGUAAAACCCUUUCAGAGUAACAAUUGGAGGGCAAGUCUGGUGCCAGCAGCCGCGGUAAUUCCAGCUCCAAUAGUGUAUAUUAGAGUUGUUGCAGUUAAAAAGCUCGUAGUUGGAUUUCUGUCGUGGUCAUCCGGUUCCGCCUGUAUGGGUGCGAGCCUGGUUUGCCCUCGGCUUUCUUCUGGUAGCCUUCCGCGCUUCACUGCGUGUGUUGGUGUUCCGGAACUUUUACUUUGAGAAAAAUAGAGUGUUUCAAGCAGGCUUGUCGCCCUGAAUACUUCAGCAUGGAAUAAUAAGAUAGGACCUUGGUUCUAUUUUGUUGGUUUCUAGGACCAAGGUAAUGAUUAAUAGGGACAGUUGGGGGCAUUCGUAUUUAACUGUCAGAGGUGAAAUUCUUAGAUUUGUUAAAGACGAACUACUGCGAAAGCAUUUGCCAAGGAUGUUUUCAUUAAUCAAGAACGACAGUAGGGGGUUUGAAGACG